This 360-nucleotide ribosomal RNA is filed under the name uncultured bacterium. RNAcentral describes it as "bacterial SSU rRNA". It matches the Rfam family "Bacterial small subunit ribosomal RNA", at positions 29 to 416 of the family's 1533-position model. The record is from RNAcentral.
AACGAACGCUGGCGGCAUGCCUAACACAUGCAAGUCGAACGAGACCUUCGGGUCUAGUGGCGCACGGGUGCGUAACGCGUGGGGAUCUGCCCUUUGCUUCGGAAUAACAGUUAGAAAUGACUGCUAAUACCGGAUGAUGUCGUAAGACCAAAGAUUUAUCGGCAAAGGAUGAACCCGCGUAGGAUUAGCUAGUUGGUGGGGUAAAGGCCUACCAAGGCGACGAUCCUUAGCUGGUCUGAGAGGAUGAUCAGCCACACUGGAACUGAGACACGGCCCAGACUCCUACGGGAGGCAGCAGUGGGGAAUAUUGGACAAUGGGCGAAAGCCUGAUCCAGCAAUGCCGCGUGAGUGAUGAAGGCC